This 525-nucleotide long non-coding RNA is filed under the name Erythranthe guttata (spotted monkey flower). RNAcentral describes it as "long non-coding RNA (EGUT_LNC003745)". Lineage: Eukaryota; Viridiplantae; Streptophyta; Magnoliopsida; Lamiales; Phrymaceae. The record is from RNAcentral.
AUAACUCUGUUCACUCUCCUUACGCUCUCUCUAUCUCUCUCCCAAUUCUCGCAUAAUAUUACAGAAAAUCAAGAAAAAAUUCUCUCUUAAUUUCUUCAUUAUGUUUGCACCAAAUCCCUCUUAUCUUACCUCUUUUGUUUUCCCCAAAAGUAUUCACCUAUUUCACCCAAUUUCUCCAAGCCCUAGUUCCUACCCCUGUUCGAGAGUUUUCGAAUUCAUUAAGGAGAUUUGGAAGAUUUGAUUACAGGAAAAGAGAAUUUUCGAAUUCAUUAAUUUCCCCUUCUUCUCCGGGAAGUUUCAUAUCUAAUCCUUCGGUUCCCUCUUCUUCUUUGUAUUCGAUUCUCUUCAAAGAGUAAGGACUUUGGUGUUUACUGAGUUGAUGAUAAAUAAUAAGAUAUGCUUAUGUUUUUAAUUGAUUCAUAUGGUUUAGGAAUCGGAUUUAGGGAUCUAGGUCAAGAAAUAUAGAUUUCAAUAAACCCUAGUUCGAUUUCUAGAUUCGUAGCCCCAGAUUCCAGUGCAUUAUUC